GGUCCAGGCGCCUCCGCUGGUGGUGCCGGCGGGCUGUUCGUAAGUGGCGAUGGAGCCAAGGCCGGAGAUUUCACUUUUGUGCUUGGAGCUGGCGCUGGAACCGCUGCUGGUGGAGAGGCGAGAGGAGCCGGUGGAGGAGUUGCGGGAGGAGGAGUUGCAGGUGGAGGAGUGGCCGGUGGGGGAGUGGCCGGUGGUGGAGUAGCCGGUGGAGGAGUGGCGGGCGGAGGGGUGGCCGGUGGAGGUGUUGCUGGUGGAGGGGUUGCUGGUGGAGGAGUGGCUGGUGGAGGAGUGGCCGGUGGUGGAGUGGCUGGGGGUGGAGUGGCCGGUGGUGGAGUGGCAGGCGGAGGAGUAGCCGGUGGCGGGGCUGAUACCGGAGGAGGAGACGAGGCGGGAGGAGAUGUAACAGCAGUUGGUGGUGACGCGGCGGGAGUUGUGGGGGUAGGAGGAGCUGGAGUGGCGGUGGGCCCUCCAGCGGGAGCCUGACCUCCAACGCCGGCGAAGACAAUGCAGACCA
This 514-nucleotide long non-coding RNA is filed under the name Vitis vinifera (wine grape). Its description in RNAcentral is "long non-coding RNA (VVIN_LNC000721)". Lineage: Eukaryota; Viridiplantae; Streptophyta; Magnoliopsida; Vitales; Vitaceae. The record is from RNAcentral.